UGUCACGAUCGGGAGUGAGAGAGAUAUGCAAAUCGGAUAUCCAAAUUCAACGGAUGGAGGUGGAGGUGGAUGUGGAUGUGGAAUCUAUGGAGUUGACGGAGGAGGAGAGGGAGAAGAAGGUGAGAAAGGAGAAGGCUUUGAAGGAGAUCUAUGGUAAUUUUGGUUUUGAUUGUUUUCGACUUCAAUCUAAGAUCUUUUGCUUUUAGCUUCUGUUUGCUUUGAUACUGUGAUUUGGUUUCGUUUAAGGGUUUCUUCCGCUUUGAAUCUGAAACCAAAUCUCUUCCCUUUUUUCGAUUUAGGGUUUGAUUUAGAGUUGAAAGAUGUACAACGGGAUAGGGUUACAGACCGCAAGAGGAUCAGGAACUAAUGGUUAUGUUGAGACGAAUAAGUUCUUUGUGAGACCUAGAAAUGGUGGUAAGCCUGUUAAUGGUGGUAAAUGGUUUGAGGAUGAUCAAGGUGUUCCAGUUAAAAGUUAAUGGUGUGGCAUUUAGGUUGAUUCCUGAGUCUACUCAAGUGAAAAAUGCCUUGAAG
This is a long non-coding RNA of Arabidopsis lyrata subsp. lyrata, 531 nucleotides long. RefSeq lists it as uncharacterized. NCBI's taxonomy places the organism in Eukaryota, Viridiplantae, Streptophyta, Magnoliopsida, Brassicales, Brassicaceae. The transcript is spliced from 2 exons. The record is from RefSeq and is a predicted model, not a curated record.